CCUACGGGAGGCAGCAGUGAGGAAUAUUGGUCAAUGGACGAGAGUCUGAACCAGCCAAGUAGCGUGAAGGAUGACUGCCCUAUGGGUUGUAAACUUCUUUUAUAUGGGAAUAAAAUGUUCCACGUGUGGGCUUUUGUAUGUACCCUAUGAAUAAGGAUUGGCUAACUCCGUGCCAGCAGCCGCGGUAAUACGGAGGAUCCGAGCGUUAUCCGGAUUUAUUGGGUUUAAAGGGAGCGUAGGUGGAUUGUUAAGUCAGUUGUGAAAGUUUGCGGCUCAACCGUAAAAUUGCAGUUGAAACUGGCAGUCUUGAGUACAGUAGAGGUGGGCGGAAUGCGUGGUGUAGCGGUGAAAUGCUUAGAUAUCACGAAGAACUCCGAUUGCGAAGGCAGCUCACUGGACUGCAACUGACACUGAGGCUCGAAAGUGUGGGUAUCAAACAGGAUUAGAUACCCGUGUAGUC
Molecule: ribosomal RNA, 460 nt
Filed under: uncultured bacterium
Lineage: Bacteria
Description: partial 16S ribosomal RNA
Rfam family: Bacterial small subunit ribosomal RNA
Source: RNAcentral